UACGUAGGGGGCAAGCGUUGUCCGGAAUCAUUGGGCGUAAAGAGCGUGUAGGCGGCCCGAUAAGUCCGCCGUGAAAGUCCAGGGCUCAACCCUGGAAUGCCGGUGGAAACUGUCGGGCUGGAGUCCGGAAGAGGCGAGUGGAAUUCCUGGUGUAGCGGUGAAAUGCGCAGAUAUCAGGAGGAACACCAAUAGCGAAGGCAGCUCGCUGGGACGGUAUUGACGCUGAGGCGCGAAAGCGUGGGGAGCAAACAGG
Molecule: ribosomal RNA, 253 nt
Filed under: uncultured bacterium
Lineage: Bacteria
Description: partial 16S ribosomal RNA
Rfam family: Bacterial small subunit ribosomal RNA
Source: RNAcentral